This is a regulatory RNA element of Photobacterium jeanii, 39 nucleotides long. It matches the Rfam family "JUMPstart RNA". Lineage: Bacteria; Pseudomonadati; Pseudomonadota; Gammaproteobacteria; Vibrionales; Vibrionaceae. The record is from Rfam.
UAGCAGAUUGGGGGCUGAUAUCCCAAGGGCGGUAGCGUG